AAAACUUUACAAUGCGGGAAACCGUGAUAAGGGGACACCGAGUGCCAGCAUCAUAUGCUGGCUGUCCAGAUGUGUAAAAUACAUCUGUUAGCAAGGGCCGGGCAAGACCGGUGCCAGCCGCCGCGGUAACACCGGCGGCCCGAGUGGUGAUCGUGAUUAUUGGGUCUAAAGGGUCCGUAGCCGGUUUGGUCAGUCCUCCGGGAAAUCUGAUGGCUCAACCAUUAGGCUUUCGGGGGAUACUGCCAGGCUUGGAACCGGGAGAGGUAAGAGGUACUACAGGGGUAGGAGUGAAAUCUUGUAAUCCCUGUGAGACCACCUGUGGCGAAGGCGCCUCACCAGAACGGCUUCGACAGUGAGGGACGAAAGCUGGGGGAGCAAACCGGAUUAGAUACCCGGGUAGUCCCAGCCGUAAACUAUGCGCGUUAGGUGUAUCGGUGACCACGAGUUACCGAGGUGCCGAAGGGAAACCGUGAAACGUGCCGCCUGGGAAGUACGGUCGCAAGGCUGAAACUUAAAGGAAUUGGCGGGGGAGCACCACAACAGGUGGAGCCUGCGGUUUAAUUGGACUCAACGCCGGGAAGCUCACCGGAUAAGACAGCAGAAUGAUUGUCGGGCUGAAGACUCUGCAUGACUAGCUGAGAGGAGGUGCAUGGCCGUCGUCAGUUCGUACUGUGAAGCAUCCUGUUAAGUCAGGCAACGAGCGAGACCCGUGCCCACUGUUACCAACAUGUCCUCCGGGACGAUGGGUACUCUGUGGGGACCGCCGAUGUUAAAUCGGAGGAAGGUGCGGGCCACGGUAGGUCAGUAUGCCCCGAAUUUCCCGGGCUACACGCGGGCUACAAUGAAUGGGACAAUGGGUCCCUACCCUGAAAAGGGCUGGUAAUCUCCCAAACCCAUCCGUAGUUCGGAUCGAGGGCUGUAACUCGCCCUCGUGAAGCUGGAAUCCGUAGUAAUCGCGUUUCAAUAUAGCGCGGUGAAUACGUCCCUGCUCCUUGCACACACCGCCCGUCAAACCACCCGAGUGAGGUAUGGGUGAGGGCACGAACUCUGUGUCGUGUUCGAACCUGUGC
RNAcentral lists this ribosomal RNA (1070 nucleotides) under uncultured bacterium. RNAcentral describes it as "bacterial SSU rRNA". It matches the Rfam family "Archaeal small subunit ribosomal RNA", at positions 343 to 1414 of the family's 1478-position model. The record is from RNAcentral.